UUAUUGAUAUGCUUAAGUUCAGCGGGUAUCCCUACCUGAUCCGAGGUCAACCUGAAAAAAUAGAUUGAGGGGGGUCGGCUGGCGCCGGCCGGGCCUACAAGAGCGGGUGACGAAGCCCCAUACGCUCGAGGACCGGACGCGGUGCCGCCGCUGCCUUUCGGGCCCGCCCCCCCAGCGCGGGGGGGGGCGGGGGCCCAACACACAAGCCGUGCUUGAGGGCAGCAAUGACGCUCGGACAGGCAUGCCCUCCGGAAUACCAGAGGGCGCAAUGUGCGUUCAAAGACUCGAUGAUUCACUGAAUUCUGCAAUUCACAUUAGUUAUCGCAUUUCGCUGCGUUCUUCAUCGAUGCCGGAACCAAGAGAUCCGUUGUUGAAAGUUUUAACUAAUUUAGCUAGUUUCUCAGACUGCAACUUCAGACAGCGUUCACAGGUGUCUUCGGCGGGCGCGGGCCCGGGGGCGGAAGCCCCCCGGCGGCCGUGAGGCGGGCCCGCCGAAGCAACAGGGUUCGGAAAACACGGGUGGGAGGUUGGACCCAGAGGGCCCUCACUCGGUAAUGAUCCUUCCGCAGGUUCACCUACGGAAACCUUGUUANNACUU
This 598-nucleotide unclassified non-coding RNA is filed under the name Penicillium copticola. RNAcentral's name for it is "sequence contains ITS1, 5.8S rRNA gene and ITS2". The record is from RNAcentral. Lineage: Eukaryota; Fungi; Ascomycota; Eurotiomycetes; Eurotiales; Aspergillaceae.